RNAcentral lists this non-coding RNA (45 nucleotides) under Schistosoma mansoni. The record is from RNAcentral. Lineage: Eukaryota; Metazoa; Platyhelminthes; Trematoda; Strigeidida; Schistosomatidae.
AUCCAGCUGAUGAGUCCCAUAUAGGACGAAACGUGCAUCCUGGAU